Molecule: long non-coding RNA, 468 nt
Filed under: Sinocyclocheilus grahami
Lineage: Eukaryota; Metazoa; Chordata; Actinopteri; Cypriniformes; Cyprinidae
Description: lncRNA (ENSSGRG00000001956.1)
Source: RNAcentral
AAUGUUUUGCGCUCUCAUAUUAGAUCACUCCCAACCACCAGGCAUUAAGCAAGGUCCAACAGAACGUCAGCUACAGGCCCAGUUUAAUGUUCUGUGCUCACGCUUGGGCUGUUCUGUUCUGCCGGUCUCCUACGAUCUCUUCUCCAGCGGCAUUCUGACUCAGUUGGAACUGGAGAAAAUCCAAGCAAUACCCAUCCCAACCCAGCAAGCACAAACUCUGCUGUCCAUCUGCCUGAAGAAAGGAGAAAAAGUGUGCAUGAGCUUUUACACAGCGCUACAGAAUGAAGACGAGCAACUAGCUGAGGAACUUAAUGUAAACAGUUUGGUGGAAGACCUUGAUAAAGAACCAGAAGGCAGCAUUGUGCCGAUAGCAGUGGAGGAAACUAGAGAUCACUUGAGAGCAGCUUUACCUCUGUCAGGUAGUUCACAUUUCAACAUUAUACUCAUUUUGUUGAAAACUAUGAGAGA